UACGGAGGGGGCUAGCGUUGUUCGGAAUUACUGGGCGUAAAGCGCUCGUAGGCGGCUUUGCAAGUUAGAGGUGAAAGCCCGGGGCUCAACUCCGGAAUUGCCUUUAAAACUGCAUCGCUAGAAUUGUGGAGAGGUAAGUGGAAUUCCGAGUGUAGAGGUGAAAUUCGUAGAUAUUCGGAAGAACACCAGUGGCGAAGGCGGCUCGCUGGACCGGUUCUGACGCUGAUGCGCGAAAGCGUGGGGAGCAAACGGG
RNAcentral lists this ribosomal RNA (253 nucleotides) under uncultured bacterium. Its description in RNAcentral is "partial 16S ribosomal RNA". It matches the Rfam family "Bacterial small subunit ribosomal RNA", at positions 524 to 776 of the family's 1533-position model. The record is from RNAcentral.